Molecule: unclassified non-coding RNA, 302 nt
Filed under: soil metagenome
Description: partial contains small subunit ribosomal RNA, internal transcribed spacer 1, and 5.8S ribosomal RNA
Source: RNAcentral
UAACCGUAAGUGAACCUGCGGAAGGAUCAUUAACACGUAUCCACGUUUAUCACCCGAGAAAUUCUGAGGAUAGCUUCUUUGCGGCCCCCUUCACUUAAUUGUGUUUGUGUGGCCCUGAAGUCGCUUCCUCAGUUACACGUAAGUGUAACUCAACCCGCUUUGGUCUGUCUAUCUCCUUCGGGAGGGAUUCAGACCUCUGUGGGUAACUGUAAACCCCUUUUUUCUAAACUAAAAGCCGUCUCUUUGUAGACCGCUUUUAACCGAAUGCUGUACAACUCUUAGCAACGGAUAUCUUGGUUCUG